GAGUUCAGCCUAUCAUUUGAGAUCCGAGUAUGAUUGGGGAAAUAUCCUGAAAUAGUCUAUGAUUUGAAGAAAUGGAUAGAUGGCUAGAAUAACAUGCUAGAUGGUAGUCAAGUUACUAACUGCAGAAUUGAUUUGAUAAAAUUCUCAUCGUGUCUCCUGACUUAGGAGAAAUAUUGGGUCUGAUGAAUGGGUAAAAUUCCCAGGUGAAAAGAAUUUGGUCUGUAAGAUUUGGCAGCACCCUGAGGUUUGCCAUAUCUGAUGGCCUGGCUUUAGUGGCAGCACCUAGUGAAGGCCCAGGUGUCCUUCUGACAACCUUUACCACCUACCGUUUUGUCCUUACUUAUGUUGAAUCACUACACACAGGCUGUUGAAUUCAGCUGUCUGUGGAGAAAUUAUACCAACCACAUGGUUAGACAGAAGGAAUACAAUAUAUUGCUUAAUUUGUAUCUGAAAGCUAAGCAACAUGGAAAAAAAUCAAGCAUGCUCAGUCACUUCCAUGAGGACAAACGAAGACACUUCAAGGAGGACAUUGACAUGGAUCUGCCAGCUUUCUAAGACUUUCCCCAGAUUCAAGUCCAGUCACAUCAAGUUGCCUUAUUAAAGGGUCUGCCCACUCAAAAGGAGAAAGUGCAAAAGAUGCUCAGCAAGGGUAGCAAACGCAGUCAGAUGAUACUUCCUGACAGCAUCCAAGAGCAAGUCUCACCACCACAUCUGUCAAUAAAAA
RNAcentral lists this long non-coding RNA (724 nucleotides) under Homo sapiens (human). Its description in RNAcentral is "HSALNT0089708". Lineage: Eukaryota; Metazoa; Chordata; Mammalia; Primates; Hominidae. The record is from RNAcentral.